UACGGAGGAUGCGAGCGUUAUCCGGAUUUAUUGGGUUUAAAGGGUGCGUAGGCGGGACGGUCAGUCAGCGGUGAAAUCUCCGGGCUUAACUCGGACACUGCCGUUGAAACUGCCGUUCUUGAGUAUGGACGAGGCAGGCGGAAUUCGUGGUGUAGCGGUGAAAUGCUUAGAUAUCACGAAGAACCCCGAUAGCGCAGGCAGCUUGCCAGGCCACAACUGACGCUGAUGCACGAAAGUGUGGGUAUCAAACAGGAUUAGAUACCCUGGUAGUCCACACAGUAAACGAUGAAUACUAACUGUUUGCGAUAUACAGUAAGCGGUACAGCGAAAGCGUUAAGUAUUCCACCUGGGGAGUACGCCGGCAACGGUGAA
Molecule: ribosomal RNA, 372 nt
Filed under: uncultured bacterium
Lineage: Bacteria
Description: bacterial SSU rRNA
Rfam family: Bacterial small subunit ribosomal RNA
Source: RNAcentral